GCCGUCCUAGUAUAGUGGUGAGUACACUUCGUUGUGGCCGAAGAAACCCAAGUUCGAUUCCUGGGGACGGCA
Molecule: non-coding RNA, 72 nt
Organism: Kuraishia capsulata CBS 1993
Lineage: Eukaryota; Fungi; Ascomycota; Pichiomycetes; Pichiales; Pichiaceae
Source: Rfam